ACGAGGUCUACGGAUCAAAGCCUUCGGGCGCCAGAGGAUGAGCCUGCGUCGCAUUACCUAGUUGGUAGGGUAAUGGCCUACCAAGGGGACGAUGCGUAGCUGGUCUGAGAGGAUGAUCAGCCACACUGGGACUGAGACACGGCCCAGACUCCUACGGGAGGCAGCAGUGGGGAAUAUUGCGCAAUGGGGGAAACCCUGACGCAGCCACGCCGCGUGGGUGAUGAAGGCCUUCGGGUUGUAAAGCCCUGUCGGGAGGGACGAAUUCAUGACGGUACCUCCAAAGAAAGCACCGGCUAACUCCGUGCCAGCAGCCGCGGUAAUACGGAGGGUGCGAGCGUUGCUCGGAAUUACUGGGCGUAAAGCGUACGCCAGGCUGCCUUGUAAGUCGGGUGUGAAAGCCCGGGGCUCAACCCCGGAAAUGCGCCCGAGACUGCAGGGCUUGAAUGCGGGAGAGGAUAGCGGAAUUCCUGGUGUAGAGG
RNAcentral lists this ribosomal RNA (479 nucleotides) under uncultured bacterium. RNAcentral's name for it is "bacterial SSU rRNA". It matches the Rfam family "Bacterial small subunit ribosomal RNA", at positions 186 to 681 of the family's 1533-position model. The record is from RNAcentral.